CUUAUUUUUAAUCAUUUUAGCCAAUCCUCCUCUACUGCCUUCCCUGCUUUUUCAACAUGCUAACUGCUGCCAACAGAAACAGACUCAC
Molecule: long non-coding RNA, 88 nt
Organism: Alosa sapidissima (American shad)
Lineage: Eukaryota; Metazoa; Chordata; Actinopteri; Clupeiformes; Clupeidae
Exons: 3
Source: RefSeq, a predicted model, not a curated record